Molecule: long non-coding RNA, 2880 nt
Filed under: Nicotiana tabacum (common tobacco)
Lineage: Eukaryota; Viridiplantae; Streptophyta; Magnoliopsida; Solanales; Solanaceae
Description: long non-coding RNA (NTAB_LNC015791)
Source: RNAcentral
UUUCUAAAAAGGUUUUAAAACCCUAUAACUCUUUUCUUCUCUCUUUAUUUUGGCACUCAUCUAGCCACCACUCCUACUCCCUCUCCUAUCUAGAUCUUGACUACCAUCUCCACCUGUGAAGCUGAUCACCGGCCGAUGGACGUCCAUUCCUACUCACCACCUCUCCUUUUCUCACCCUCUUCCCUUCGCACUGUUGUUGCUGCUUUUUACCAGUCACUGCUGGAUUUUAUCCUCGUCCGAUGACUGCUACACCACCAUCGACAACCUUUUUGCCUCCAAUCUCUUCUUAUCUUCCUCUCAUUUUCUUCUAACCUUUUCUUUGUUUUGCAGGUAAACAAUUCUAUUGAGAAUGGCUAGAGUUAGCCAAAUUGAUGUAACGACCCGACCAAUUGUUUUGAGUAUUUUAGCUCCAUUCCCUUAUUUACUCCUCUAUAUUAUAUUGUGGUUAUAUGACUUGCCAGGGUAUUUGAUUUUUGUUCGGGUGAGUUUUAAACACUUAGUCCCAAAGUUGGAAGUUUAAGUUGCAAGACUUGAUCGUAGUUUGACUUUGUGUAGACGACUCCAGAAUAGAGUUUUGACUGUUUGUAACGACCCGACUGGUCGUUUUGUUCAAUUUCGUCCGGUUUGGCAGUUUGAGAUCACAAGCAGCUUCACAUUAUGUAUAUCGACUUGUGUGCAUGGUGUGAGAACGUGAUUUUUGUCCUAUAUGAAUUACUCCCAUAAAUUCAAAACAAAAUAAUUUCUUUCAGUAUUUAUAAUUUUGUGAAUUUUUGUGGCAUUUUAUGUUAAUUGAUUGCAUUUUGUCUGUGCAUUUUAAUUCAUAAAAAAUACAAAAUAUGCAUUACAUUUAGGAUUUAAUUUUACAUAUUUUAGAAUUAUUUAGUAAUUAGGAAUUUACAAAAAAUACAAAAAUCACAAAAAAAUUGAGUUAUUUUUGCUUUGUUUAAUUUUUAGCUUCGAAUUUUGUGAAUUUUCUUUAAAUUGGUAUUCUAUUAAUAGCAUUGAUUGUUAAUUGGAGUUUAACAUGAUUUGGUAGGAUAAUUUUGGUUUUUAGAAUUAAUUUAGGGUUUUUAGUUUAAAUUUGAGAAAAAAAAGAGAGAAAAAGAAGGAAUUGAAAUGAAUUGAAAAAGAAAAAAAGAGAAGAGGAAAUCGGGUUUGCUUUAAUUAAAAUGACCCAAAAUUGUGCCAGUUCUCGUCCUAAAAGUCCUAGUCCAAACAAUUCCGGACCUAGCCCAAGUCCUUUCUCUUCAGACGACUAAAUGACGUCGUUUCCCUCCCCAUUUGGUCUAAGCCCUUGAUUCAUUUCAAUCCAACGGCCCAAAACCUCUCCCCUCUUUACAUAUUAGUGUCUGAAACACAGCGACCAAUUCAGUUCCAAACACGCCCUCAUCUCUCUCAUCCCUUUCAUCUCUCUCAUCUCUCUCGUUCUUCAAACCCUAGCAGUCCAAGUUCCACCAUUGUAACAGAGCAAAGGAACUCCGUUUUUUCCUUCCAAAAAAUUUGGCUCCACAACCUUCCUUCAUCCCUGACUUUUAAUCUCUUACCAUAACCCCCAAAUUGUCACUAAGCGGAGCCAAGUCUGGACUUGAAAAGGGAAGAAGACGAAAAGAUUUAUCCAGUUUGGGGCUAAAGAUUAAAGUCGAAACUGAUCUCGUUCGUCCGUUCUUGACAAGAACGCUUGAUUGAGACCAAUUUCAGCUCAAAGUCGAUGAGUCAGAGUUCCUUCAAGUUUGGUCCAUGUUCAGCUGUUGAAUAGGUACCCUCGUUUUCUCCUUUUCCCCGUUCUUUUGAUUCUUCACUCCGUCGUCACAUCCCUCCAUGCAUUUUUUUUUCUGUUCUUGGUCAGUACUUGUUUGUUGAAACAAUUUCUGCUGGUGAUUAAAGCAAGAGCAUGCUAGCUACGUUUAUUUAAUUCUCGUGCUCAGUGUUAGUAGUUCUUGUUUUCUUUCAAUUAUUUCUGCUUUCAAUUCAAAACUGCUUGGUUCAUAUUUUCUACCUAUUUGAGCUUUGGGUUGGGUCAAUUAGGAGUUACUGAAUGGGUUUGGGUUUUUGGUAAAUUGAAAGCCCAAAGUGAAAGAAGAUCAGUCCGGCUUGGGGCUAAACUCUGGGUCAACUUGGCCCGCAUGGUUUCAUACAGUAAUUACAGGGUACUAGGAGGGUAGUUUAGGUAUUUGGGGUUAGGGAAUCUUGCUAUAACUGAAAUAGAAGCUUCUAGGGUGGGGUUUUAAUUUGAAUUUCAGGAUCUUGGUAGUAUGAACCUUGGGAACAAGUCAAGAUUCUAGGGACUUUUAAGCAAAAUGCAUAAAUUAAAAGGGACCUAAGAGGGUAAAUUAAAAUCUGAGAGGUGCCCUACUUACUUGCCUAUAAAGGCAUUCUUACUUGCCUUAGAAGGCAGGGAUGAAGAACUGAAAAAUAGAGAAACAUAGAGAGGGCUACAAUGUCUGGGUAGAUUCUGUGCUCUAGCUACUGUUUCAUUGAUUUUGAGUCGAUUUCACUGAAAGUUGGCUGAAUCUGGGUUGUUCAGCGUUGUUGCUGAGCUUACUAAUCCUUAUUUCCUUUUUGUUACUUCUUUUUCCAGGUAUUCCUGAUUCUCUAAGAGUUGAAAUGCAAAAAUGAAAGUUGUAAUUGCCAGAAGUUUUUCAUGAAUGAAUGACUGUUUCUCUUUAAAUCUUUAAUGUCAAUUAUCUAUUUAAGAUUUCCUGGAAACAUAUAGAGUAGAGUAAUGAUAUUCAGCCUAGUUUGUUCAUCUUAGUAUAGUAGUAGUAUUUUGGGGAUUCAUACUGCCCUUUUGUUUAGUCAGAGAUUUAUGGAUUGUUCGUUGGUUUGAACAUGUGAGAGACUGUGUAUAUGGACUGUUUGUUUAAGACAUUUUGGUUAUGC